RNAcentral lists this ribosomal RNA (391 nucleotides) under uncultured bacterium. RNAcentral's name for it is "partial 16S ribosomal RNA". It matches the Rfam family "Bacterial small subunit ribosomal RNA", at positions 523 to 917 of the family's 1533-position model. The record is from RNAcentral.
AUACGUAUGUCGCAAGCGUUAUCCGGAUUUAUUGGGCGUAAAGCGCGUCUAGGCGGCUUAGUAAGUCUGAUGUGAAAAUGCGGGGCUCAACCCCGUAUUGCGUUGGAAACUGCUAAACUAGAGUACUGGAGAGGUAGGCGGAACUACAAGUGUAGAGGUGAAAUUCGUAGAUAUUUGUAGGAAUGCCGAUGGGGAAGCCAGCCUACUGGACAGAUACUGACGCUAAAGCGCGAAAGCGUGGGUAGCAAACAGGAUUAGAUACCCUGGUAGUCCACGCCGUAAACGAUGAUUACUAGGUGUUGGGGGUCGAACCUCAGCGCCCAAGCUAACGCGAUAAGUAAUCCGCCUGGGGAGUACGUCGGCAACGAUGAAACUCAAAUGAAUUGACGGG